GUGUAUAAAACCUUCUGAUCAGCUAGGGAAUCAGUUCAGUCCUAUUUCUACGCACACUGAAAGUUCAACAGCUCCCAAACCCACUCACAAUGAAGCCAGCUGUUACUGCAGUUCUUUUGCUGUUGACGUUCUCUGCCAUCAUCUCCACAGAGGCUCGACCUAAUGGGAAAGGCGUUUGGAAUGCUGUUUUGCGUCAAGCACGGGACGACGAAUGCGGACCGGCAAGUGGGCAAUCGUGUGCGUCGGGCUUGUGCUGUUCCCUUUACAACGAAUGCGGAACUUCGGUCGCCCAUUGCAACGUCUCCCUCGGCUGUAAAAAUAAGUGGGGCGAAUGUCACUAAAAGGCGGCCCCAAUUUUCAAAAUCGGGGGAGAAUUGAGUUGAUUCAUUUCGCAAUGUGUACACCCUGCUUCUGCUUCUGCCACGCUCGUUUGAGCCCUAAAAUUGUCCUAAUGUCAAGCUGAAAUACCUGUAGCAGCAGAACAUUGUACCUGAUUUUUACGACGGUACGAUUUAAAUACUUUAAUUGCCAACAGAGGAGCAUGUGUGUCAAGCCGGUAUUGUAUUAUACAUGUGCUCAGACUUUAUAAUAAAUCUUUAUUAUUUGUGGAAGAGAGAUUCGUUUUUAAAGUUUACUCGUCACGUAGACUCUGUAACUUGUUGGUUCAAACUCGUUAACAAAAUUCCGACGAUCGACAAAACAAAAACAAAACACAACUAACCGGUUUCACACACGCAGAUGCGUACAAAGUCACGAGUAGAAAAGUUCCUCGAUGAUUGGUUGGCGUUUUCCCUACCCUCUCUUUUGAUUGCCCGAGGGUAUAGGUCAAUUAUAUGAAAAAUUCAAAGGGUAAAACCAAGUUGCAAGAAAAAGGAAAAAUAUGGAGAAUUUGCAUCAUUGGCCCAUUUCCGUUUAACCUAGAGACUUGAGAGAAAGUCUAAAUAGGCCUGUACAUAAAACCUUGUGGUCACCUUGGUAUUGAUCCAGUUCUUAUUGAAACACCUACACCUGUACACACACGCAAUUUUAGCUUUGGGACUAUUACGCACAAAAUGAAGGCAACAAUUCUCUUGAUUUUAACCGUUUCGGCUAUCAUUUCGACAGAGCCCCAGUUUGAUGUCGAAUCGAAUUCCGUGUUGGUCGACUCUAUACGAUGUGGCCCAAGAUUCGGACGGUGUGCAAGAGGCUUGUGUUGCGGCUUGAACAACGACUGCGGAUCCUCGAUCGCCCAUUGUAACGUUUCUCUGGGAUGCAAAACUAAGUGGGGCAUCUGUUAUUAACGGCAAACGGACCGUUUCGACCUCUUCAAUUACUUUUCAUUGGCAAAAGGCAAAACACAGUUGUAGAAAUUUGUAUCUAAACUCAACGGCGUUACGUUUUUUCAUUCCCUUAUUUAACAACCCAAAAAAGGAUAUGCUCGUCCAGCUGGCGUUCAUGUACUCUUUGGCCCCCACAUAACAUUUUAUAUUCACACUCCCUAAUAAUAAAUGAAUCGGGAUCACGACGUGACUCUCUUCGAAUACGUGUUGACUGUUUAUCUACGCAGUUUGACUUUGUCAAUGAAAUCAAUAAACGAACGCUGUCACUAGAA
Molecule: long non-coding RNA, 1591 nt
Filed under: Daphnia pulicaria
Lineage: Eukaryota; Metazoa; Arthropoda; Branchiopoda; Diplostraca; Daphniidae
Description: uncharacterized LOC124311559
Source: RNAcentral